GGAGGAGGUGUUGAAGAAAGGAUUGAGAUGAUUAUCCCAGUCUGGCACACAGAAAGAGGUCUGUGUAGUAAUAUCCAGCUAAAAAGGCAGUUACUUGACAACUGCAGGGGAAAUCAGGUGGCAAACUGAGGACAGAAGCAGAGAGAAAAUGUGUGGCACCUGGAGGAACAGAGAAAAUGUAAAGAUGAAGAUGGAAAGCUACUAACAAUCAAUAAUAAAAGAGGCUGAAAUGGAAAAUUAAGGACAUAG
RNAcentral lists this long non-coding RNA (249 nucleotides) under Homo sapiens (human). Its description in RNAcentral is "HSALNT0190958". Lineage: Eukaryota; Metazoa; Chordata; Mammalia; Primates; Hominidae. The record is from RNAcentral.